GCCCGGCUAGCUCUGUCGGUUGAGCACGAGACUCUUAAUCUCGGGUUCGGGCCCCACGUUGGGUG
Molecule: non-coding RNA, 65 nt
Organism: Trichonephila inaurata madagascariensis
Lineage: Eukaryota; Metazoa; Arthropoda; Arachnida; Araneae; Nephilidae
Source: the annotation of a GenBank genome assembly